GCCCUACAGUCUCUCAUGUCCAUGUACCAUAAAUGUCUCAUUGUUCUGUCGCAGGACAAAGAUGACUCCUGAGUGGAGGUGGAACAUGAAUUCUGUCUGAGGAUGCUUGUGUGGCUGCCAGCGCGUUUUUAUCGCUCAAAAGCCUCUUCUGCUGACACUCAACGAAACCCAAGCAGGAGAUAGAAGUGGCACACAACAUAAAACCCUGCUUAAAGAUCACAGUGAAUACACUAGAAAUGUGGUGUACAGUGGAGUGAGAAGAGCCAAGUUAACGACUUGUGUACCUGCCAGGGCCGAGCUGACGCUGGUCGAUCCGUUCAGCUGCACAGGAAUGGAAGGAACGCUGGAGGACGGGAAAACAAGUCGGUUAAAAAACAAUCAAGCAGGUCCACUAUUAAAGUUGUAUUUAUUCGUCAAUACCUAAAUUGAGCUAUUAAUGUGCCUGCUGAUCAACAGCCAAUCAGGUGAGGGUACAAAUUAGUAGCAAAGACACUCAUUUAUUUUACUUUUAUUGUGUGUCCAGCUGAGUUGGGUAAGUCUUACUUUUGAAUUUACUGCACAGUAACAACUGCUUAAUGAUCAUUCAUCUAAGUGGAGAAAAACGGCAGGAAAUAAAGAAACAUUUGGUGUUGUUCCUGCUGUUUCAGGCCACAUUCUGUGCUGGCACGUGCAAUAACAAGCGUGGGCACGCUUCCUUUUUUCAAAGGAUCACUUGUCAGCCACAGACCAAAGGAGGAAAGGUGUCAGAAAUGAUAAUGAAGCCCACUGACUGACUGUCCAUCCACAGGAAGACGUGCUUUACAUGAUGAAGACCGCCUGAAGGAAAAAGUGUUGAUCCAGAGGAGCAGCUGUUAGAACAUUCCGAUGACAACAACAACAACAACAUGCUAAAUAAACUACCGUGUUUGACAGGCCUUCACAUGUACAAUACAACUCGAGGCGAAUGUUUAAUAUGACUCACCUGUGUCCUGUCUGAACUGUUUCAAGCUCGGCACGUCAAUAAGAUAUGGCGACAGGCCGGGGUCAGACUGUCCGAGGGAGAUGGUGGAGGUGCCCGGCGCGCCGCCUCGGUGUCCCCGCGGCGAUAGGCAUCGCUCGAUGUGGGCGCUCACUUGGCCGCUGUAAGGCCGCCAGUGGCCCUGGUCGUCCUGCCAUUCCCACACGGCUAUCAUGGGCUGGGACUGGCCAACGGAGCCGGACGGAGUCACUGCGGAGACAGAGGGCCCGUUCCUGGAGCCGUUCACCCGGGCACAGGAGCCAGACACAAUCGCCAUACUGGGCCUCGUGGAAGAAGUAGCUGUCAACGCACAGAAGAUUGGCUGCCAUGGAGCGCGUUUAACGGACGGAUGGUUGGAAGUAAUAAUGUGAGGAAUGAAGUCAACUUGAGGAGAUUACACAAAAAUGUUAUUAAAAUGCCUGCAGAAAGACAUCAUCUAACCAGAAGGCAAAUUACAAGACAUGUAACGUGUACCUCCAUCAAGGACUUCCGUGGACUUUUGGAUCUGUCUCGGGGAACCAUGGCCAUGUUUGCACCGGAGACCAGCUGGAGAGACCGGAGAAGACGGAGCUCGCUUUAAGCGUCAAGAUGGACGAGUUGUCCAAAGCCCUGGCUGAAUGAGCAUGUAUUGGGACAGAUUCUCCAUCAUCCGCGCGAACCUGACUUAGGCCGAGAGCUCGUGGGCAGCCUAGGACGGAGUUGGCUCUCGGUUGCUUUGUUGGGUCUGCUCCAAUGAUGGCGUGGAGCACCACAGAGGUGGGUGUUGUAUUUUUGUAUUUUGUCUACGCAUGGUGCAAACGUAUGUGCGCAACAUAUAAUAUUUAUUCCACUUUCUGUUUUUUUCCUUGUGUUUUACUUUUGUAGCUGUAUGUAGAAACGGCACCUCUGAAGUGGCAACUGUUUGCAUCAGCUCCCGAACUCUUUUAAUUUUAAUGUUCGCCUCUUGUUUUCAUACCAAGAUGGCCGCCAUACUACUAUGGUCUCAUAGUUCAGUGUUUUUCGAUUUUUUUUGAGGCAAGGCAUGUUUUUAUUCAUUUAAGAAUA
Molecule: long non-coding RNA, 2041 nt
Organism: Entelurus aequoreus (snake pipefish)
Lineage: Eukaryota; Metazoa; Chordata; Actinopteri; Syngnathiformes; Syngnathidae
Exons: 5
Source: RefSeq, a predicted model, not a curated record